RNAcentral lists this ribosomal RNA (460 nucleotides) under uncultured bacterium. Its description in RNAcentral is "partial 16S ribosomal RNA". It matches the Rfam family "Bacterial small subunit ribosomal RNA", at positions 338 to 795 of the family's 1533-position model. The record is from RNAcentral.
CCUACGGGAGGCAGCAGUGAGGAAUAUUGGUCAAUGGACGAGAGUCUGAACCAGCCAAGUAGCGUGAAGGAUGACUGCCCUAUGGGUUGUAAACUUCUUUUAUAUGGGAAUAAAACGUUCCACGUGUGGGAUUUUGUAUGUACCAUAUGAAUAAGGAUCGGCUAACUCCGUGCCAGCAGCCGCGGUAAUACGGAGGAUCCGAGCGUUAUCCGGAUUUAUUGGGUUUAAAGGGAGCGUAGGUGGAUUGUUAAGUCAGUUGUGAAAGUUUGCGGCUCAACCGUAAAAUUGCAGUUGAAACUGGCAGUCUUGAGUACAGUAGAGGUGGGCGGAAUUCGUGGGGUAGCGGUGAAAUGCUUAGAUAUCACGAAGAACUCCGAUUGCGAAGGCAGUUCACUGGACUGCAACUGACACUGAGGCUCGAAAGUGUGGGUAUCAAACAGGAUUAGAUACCCUUGUAGUC